This 655-nucleotide long non-coding RNA is filed under the name Musa acuminata (dwarf banana). RNAcentral describes it as "long non-coding RNA (MACU_LNC000183)". The record is from RNAcentral. Lineage: Eukaryota; Viridiplantae; Streptophyta; Magnoliopsida; Zingiberales; Musaceae.
UUUCAGAACUUGAAGCCCACAUAAGAACUGGUAUGCUGCAUGUGACUUUUCUCAUGCUGUAACCAAAACAGGAGACUUCAUGAUCUUGCGAGGCUUGUGAGUUCGAUCCACCAUUCCUGGUGGAGGAGAAGAGUAUAUUUCUUUCCACAGCUGGUCAUGAUGAGAACUACUAGAUGUUAAGCACUGAAGUAAGACACCAAUAUCAAUCUGUUCUCAGGGCGAACAUAUUCUGCAUUCAACUCGAUCAUUCAUAAUUAAUCGGUUCAUAGUAAUUCAUUGGAAAGGUACAAAAAAAAAACUUACUGAGUCUUCUUCGACACAGAUAUCAUCUGAUCGAGCGACCCUCGACAAAACUUUGAUUCAUAUAAUGAAUGCAGAUGCAAAAGUCCUUUGUUCUCCCAACCUCUGAUACUACACCACCAGAUACAAUAUUGUGCCUGCUCUGCAGAGUACAAGCCAUGUGAUUGAUGUUCAAUAUUAAUGGUUUUUGUCUGCUACUGUAAAUUCUGUAUCCACUCUCAAACCAAUAAACCUUCCAUGAUCCAGCAACUAUAUAUUCUAUAUUCUUCUGGCUUUUGGCCAUUCAUCUCCCAUAUCUUAUAGACAAGGAGGUCAUUGGAUCUCUCUCCUCUCUGUUUGCAUCUAUGAAAAUCCA